This 649-nucleotide ribosomal RNA is filed under the name uncultured bacterium. RNAcentral describes it as "bacterial SSU rRNA". It matches the Rfam family "Bacterial small subunit ribosomal RNA", at positions 229 to 888 of the family's 1533-position model. The record is from RNAcentral.
AUUCGCGGCCUAUCAGCUUGUUGGUGAGGUAAUGGCUCACCAAGGCGACGACGGGUAGCCGGCCUGAGAGGGUGACCGGCCACACUGGGACUGAGACACGGCCCAGACUCCUACGGGAGGCAGCAGUGGGGAAUAUUGCACAAUGGGCGAAAGCCUGAUGCAGCAACGCCGCGUGAGGGACGACGGCCUUCGGGUUGUAAACCUCUUUUAGUAGGGAAGAAGCGAAAGUGACGGUACCUGCAGAAAAAGCACCGGCUAACUACGUGCCAGCAGCCGCGGUAAUACGUAGGGUGCAAGCGUUGUCCGGAAUUAUUGGGCGUAAAGAGCUCGUAGGCGGUUUGUCGCGUCUGCUGUGAAAACCCGAGGCUCAACCUCGGGCCUGCAGUGGGUACGGGCAGACUAGAGUGCGGUAGGGGAGAUUGGAAUUCCUGGUGUAGCGGUGGAAUGCGCAGAUAUCAGGAGGAACACCAAUGGCGAAGGCAGAUCUCGGGGCCGUAACUGACGCUGAGGAGCGAAAGCAUGGGGAGCGAACAGGAUUAGAUACCCUGGUAGUCCAUGCCGUAAACGUUGGGAACUAGAUGUGGGGACCAUUCCACGGUCUCCGUGUCGCAGCUAACGCAUUAAGUUCCCCGCCUGGGGAGUACGGAAU